UUUGUUUACCUAAGCAAGCCUGGGCAAUGGCGGGUGCCCCUCCUCCAGCCUCGCUGCCGCCUUGCAGUUUGAUCUCAGACUGCUGUGCUAGCAAUCAGCGAGAUUCCGUGGGCGUAGGACCCUCCGAGCCAGGUGUGGGAUAUAGUCUCGUGGUGCGCCGUUUUUCAAGCCGGUCUGAAAAGCGCAAUAUUCCGGUGGGAGUGACCCGAUUUUCCAGGACAUCCUGAGACUUCAGUGAAAUAUGCUGAUGGGAAAGGAAGAGAAUGAGUUUCGGUGCAGAAAGGCAUCUGAGGCACCACUUCUGAAAAACCCUGACUUUGUUAUCUUCCUCAAAAGAAUGGAAACUUAUUUACAUGAUUGUUGCUGACCAGGCAUCGAUAAGAAGAAAUGGGGAGCAAAUAUUUUGUAUAGACACCAGAAUGGCUAAUAAAGGUGACAUCACGCUGAGUUGCAAGAAUCUUCAGGGAUUGGAUCCUGAUACAGACCAGAUAUUCUGGAAUUCUCUCUCCAACAAAAGAUUACUUCAAGGCCAGAACACACUCCCAGCUAGAGAUCCAAGGUCCUCACUACCUUUAUGAGCUGUAACACUCACUGUGAAGGUCUGCAGCUUCACUCCUGAAGUCAGUGAGAUCACAAACCCAUUGGGAGGAAUGAAAAACUCUGGAUGCGCUACCUUUAAGAGCUGUAACACUCACUGCAAAGGUCUGCGGCCUCACUCCAGAAGUCAGUGAGACCAUGAACCCACUAGGAGCAAGAAACUCUGGAGACAUCUGAACAUUUGAAGGAAGGAACUCUGGACACACCAUCUUUAAGAACUGUAAUACUCACUGUGAGGGUCUGAGGCUUCAUUCUUGAAGUCAGCAAGACCAAGAACCCACCAGAAGGAACCAAUUCUGGACACAUUUUGGCAACCCAGAUGGGACAAUCACCAAGUGUUAAGGUGGCAGGAGUGGAAUCUUGGAUUUACCACAUCCGAGUUAAAUUUUGGACACCCCCUGAGGAAACUGUGGGACUGUCAGCUCAGGAGUCCCAAGAUCAGCUAGACCAGCCUCGAUACACCUGUGAACUGUUGGAGGACUUGCAUCUCCUAUUUCAGAAGGAAAAAUCCCAGACUAAAAAGGCUCCUACCACUGAUCCUGAAGAAAAACUCCUUCCUCAUUAAAAAAGAUAAGUGAAAACCUAUAUAAUCUUUAUCUUUAACACCUCUCCUUGCCCCUUUAAUGGAAUUCUUUUACUAUUUCAUCAUAUUGUUACGUAGCAUACUAACCAUACCCUUUGCAAUAGGACUAUAUACAGUAAGUAGCUCCUGCUGGGAUGAGAAUCCAAAUCACAUCAACCUUCUUUCUAUAUUCCUUCCUUCUGACAGCGAUUUACUUCUACCUUUAACUCAGACUGGAUAAGAUGAUCUCAUCUUCCAGAGCACCCUCUUUACCUUCCUAUUUACUCUUUGCCUAUCUAUCCCUGCUGCUUCCUUGGAUAUCUCAUACAAUCACCCCUCCCCUUCCACUAGCUCCUAAUUACCUCUACAAGACUCUCAACUUAACCCACUCUCUGUUAAACCAGUCCAAUCCUUCCCUGGCAAAUUACUUUUGGCUUUGUAUCUCUCUAUCAACUUCUGCUUAUGUUGCCACUCCCAUUCCCGCAAAAAAAUUGGGUUUUUACCAACUUAACCUACCACCCUCAUUAUGAAGGAAAAGACCCUUUCUGACUUCUAAAUAUGCAAUCAUUAGCUGACUUCCCCAUCUCUGAUAGGACCAAGAAUACCCUAACAGGACGUGCAUUCCAACUUUUAUGUUCUUACAUUUCCAACCUCACCUAUUACACAAGCAAUGAAAAGCCCAUACAUGGCCCUAUAACUAUGAAUACCAUCCUAAUUUUCCAAACCCCUUUAUGCAUCCAACACAACCUAUUAUCAGGCCUGCCCCUGGGGCACCUACUACCCCAUCAGUGUAAUAUCACCCUACAACUUCAAGUCCCAACUGAUCAUAGUAACUUCCGAGUCAUCCAAACAAUUCCAUUCAGAUGGCUUGUCUGCUUCUCAGGGCCCCCCAAAACCAUCAACUCCUCCCUGCUUAACAAACAGUCCAGGUUUUGUAAUGGCAAACAUACUCCCUGUAUGACCAUUCACCCCUGGACCUCCUACAGAAGCGCCCCCACCACUAGUGAAUGCCUUCUCAUCCCCCCUUUCAAUCACACUCUCGAAUGGUUCCUAGUAGGUAUGAAAUGGUUUUUUCUCCAAUAGGAAAAUAGAACAUAGGUAGCCACUCAGUUUGCUCCCAGCACCCCUUUCCAGCCAUUCACUGGAGCUACCUUUGCAAGUACUCUAGGAGUAUGGGAAAAUGAAAACAACAAACUCACACAUCUUUUUAACAAAAACAACCAGUUCUGUCUACCCAGAUAAGUAUAUUCUUCUUAUGUGGAUCAUCGAUGUAUAUCUGCCUUCCCACUAACUGGACAGGCACCUGCACCUUAGUCUUUCUAAGUCCCAACAUUAACAUUGCCCCCAGGAAAUCAGACCCUAUCAGUACCCCUCAAAGCCCAAGUCUGUCAGUGCAGAGCCAUACAACGAAUACCCCUACUUAUAGGGUUAAGAAUGGCUACUGCUACAGGAACUGGAAUAGCCAGUUUAUCUACUUCAUUAUCCUACUACCACACACACUCAAAGUAUUUCUCAGACAGUUUGCAAGAAAUAACGAAAGCUAUCCUUACUCUACAAUCCCAAAUAGACUCUUUGGCAGCAGCGACUCUCCAAAGCCACUGAGGCCUAGACCUCCUCACUGCUGAGAAAGGAGGACUCUGCACCUUCUUAGGGGAAAGUGUUGUUUUUACACUAACCAGUCAGGGAUAGUAUGAGAUGCUGCCUGGUGUUUACAGGAAAAGGCUUCUGAAAUCAGACAAUGACUUUCAAACUCUUAUACCAACAUCUAGAGUUGGGCAACAUGACUUCUUCCCUUUCUAGGUCCUGUGGCAGCCAUUUUGUUAUUACUUACCUUCAGGCCAUUUUUAACCUCCUUGUCAAAUUUGUUUCCUCUAGGAUCAAGGCCGUCAAGCUACAGAUGGUCUUACAAAUGGAAACCCAAAUGAGCUCAACUAACAACUUCUACUGAGGACCUCUGGACUAACCAGCUGGCCCUUUCACUGGCCUAAAGAGUUCCCCUCUUGAGGACACUACAACUGCAGGGCCCUUUCUUUGCCUCUAUCCAGCAGGAAGUAGCUAGAGUGGUCAUCGCCCAAUUCCCAACAGCAUUUGGGGUGUCCUGUUUAGAGGGGAGAUUAAGAGAUGAAGCUGGCUGGGCUUCUGGGUGAGGUGGGGACUUGGAGAACGUUUCUGUCUAGCUAAAGGAUUGUAUACACAUCAAUCAGUGCUCUGUGUCCAGCUAAAGGUUUGUAAACGCACCAAUCAGCAUGCUGUAAAAACGCACCAAUCAGCACUCUGUGUCUAGCUAAAGGUUUGUAAACGCACCAAUUAGCACUCUGUAAAAACGGACCAAUCAGCACUUUGUAAAAUGGACCAAUCAGCAGGAUGUGGGCAGGGCCAAAUAAGGGAAUAAAAGCUGGCCACCCAAGCCAGCAGCGGCAACCCACUUGGGUCCCCUUCCAAGCUGUGGAAGGUUUGUUCUCUUGCUCUUUGCAAUAAAUCUUGCUGCUGCUCACUCUUUGUGUCCACACUACCUUUAUGACCUGUUACACUCACCGCAAAGGUCUGCAGCUUCACUCCUGAAGUCACCAAGACCACAAACCCACCAAGAGGAACAAACAACUCCAGAUGCGCCAACUUUAAGAGCUGUAACACUCACUGCGAAGGUCUGUGGCUCCACUUCUGAAGUCAGUGAGACCAUGAACCCACCAGGAGGAAUAAACAACUCUGGAUGUGCCAUCUUUAAGAGCUGUAACACUCACUGCAAAGGUCUGCAGCUUCACUCCUAAAGUCAGCAAGACCAUGAACCCACGAGAAGAAAGAAACUCUGGACAAAUCUGAACAUCUGAAGGAAUAAACUCUGGAUACAACAUCUUUAAGAACUGUAACACUCAUUGCAAGGGUCUGUGGCUUCAUUCUUGAAGUCAGUGAGACAAAGAACCCACCAGAAAGAACCAAUUCCAGACACAAUAUGACAAAACAUGACUCUUUACCACUCCCCCAAAAUCACAGUAGCUCACCAGUAAUAGAUCCAAACCAAGAAGAAUUCUCUGAAUUGCCAGAAAAAGAAUGCAAAAGGUUGAUUAUUAAGCUACUCAAGGAGGCACCAGAGAAAGACAAAUAACAACUUAAAGAAAUUAAAAAAAAAGAAGACACAGGAUACAGAUGGAAAAAUCUCCAGAGAAAUAGAUAUCAUAAAUAAAAAACAAUCACAACUUCUAAAAAUGAAGGACACACUUAGAGAAAUGCAAAAUACACUGGAAAGUCUUAGCAAUAGAAUCAAACAAGUAGAAGAAAGAACUUCAGAGCUAGAAGACAAGCUUUUGAAUUAAUGCUAUCUGACAAAGAGAAACAAUUAAAAAAUUUUAAAAACAUGAGCAAAGCCUCAAAAAAGUUUGGGAUUAUGUUAAACAACAAAACCUAAGAAUAGGGGGAGGAGCCAAGAUGGCCGAAUAGGAACAGCUCCUGUCUACAGCUCCCAGCAUGAGCAACGCAGAAGACAGGUGAUUUCUGCAUUUCCAUCUGAGGUACCGGGUUCAUCUCACUAGGGAGUGCCAGACAGGGGGCGCAGGUCAGUGGGUGCGCGCACCAUGUGCAAGCCAAAGCAGGGCGAGGCAUUGCCUCACUUGGGAAGUACAAGGGGUCAGGUAGUUCCCUUUCUGAGUCAAAGAAAGGGGUGACAGAUGGCACCUGGAAAAUCGGGUCACUCCCACCCGAAUACUGCACUUUUCCGACGGGCUUUAAAAACGGCGCACCACGAGAUUAUAUCCCGCACCUGUCUCGGAGGGUCCUAUGCCCACGGAGUCUCGCUGAUUGCUAGCACAGCAGUCUGAGAUCAAACUGCAAGGUGGCAGCGAGGCUGGGGGAGGGGCGCCCGCCAUUGCCCAGGCUUGAUUAGGUAAACAAAGCAGCCUGGAUGCUCGAACUGGGUGGAGCCCACCACAGCUCAAGGAGGCCUGCCUGCCUCUGUAGGCUCCACCUCUGGGGGCAGGGCACAGACAAACAAAAAGACAGCAGUAACCUCUGCAGACUUAAAUGACGCUGUCUGACAGCCUUGAAGAGAGCAGUGGUUCUCCCAGCACACAGCUGGAGAUCUGAGAAUGGGCAGACUGCCUCCUCAAGUGGGUCUCUGACCCUGACCCCUAAGCAGCCUAACUGGGAGGCAUCCCCCAGCAGGGGCACACUGACACCUCACAUGGCAGGGUACUCCAACAGAACUGCAGCUGAGGGUCCUCUUUGUUAGAAGGAAAACUAACAAACAGAAAGGACAUCCACACCAAAAACCCAUCUGUACAUCACCAUCAUCAAAGACCAAAAGUAGAUAAAACCACAAAGAUGGGGAAAAAACAGAACAGAAAAACUGGAAACUCUAAAAAGCAGAGCACCUCUCCUCCUCCAAAGGAACGCAGUUCCUCACCAGCAACAGAACAAAGCUGGAUGGAGAAUGACUUUGACGAGCUGAGAGAAGAAGGCUUCAGAUGAUCAAAUUACUCUGAGCUACGGGAGGACAUUCAAACCAAAGGCAAAGAAGUUGAAAACUUUGAAAAAUAUUUAGAAGAAUGUAUAAAUAGAAUAACCAAUACAGAGAAGUGCUUAAAGGAGCUGAUGGAGCUGAAAACCAAGCCUCAAGAACUACGUGAAGAAUGCAGAAGCCUCAGGAGCUGAUGCAAUCAACUGGAAGAAAGGGUAUCAGCAAUGGAAGAUGAAAUGAAUGAAAUGAAGUGAGAAGGGAAGUUUAGAGAAAAAAGAAUAAAAAGAAAUGAGCUAAGCCUCCAAGAAAUAUGGGACUAUGUGAAAAGACCAAAUCUACAUCUGAUUGGUGUACCUGAAAGUGAUGGGGAGAAUGGAACCAAGUUGGAAAACACUCUGCAGGAUAUUAUCCAGGAGAACUUCCCCAAUCUAGCAAGGCAGGCCAACAUUCAGAUUCAGGAAAUACAGAGAACGCCACAGAUACUCCUCAAGAACAGCAACUCCAAGACACAUAAUUGUCAGAUUCACCAAAGUUGAAAUGAAGGAAAAAAUGUUAAGGGCAGCCAGAGAGAAAGGUCGGGUUACCCUCAAAGGGAAGCCCAUCAGACUAACAGCAGAUCUCUCGGCAGAAACCCUACAAGCCCGAAGAGAGUGGGGGCCAAUAUUCAACAUUCUUAAAGAAAAGAAUUUUCAACCCAGAAUUUCAUAUCCAGCCAAACUAAGCUUCAUAAGUGAAGGAGAAAUAAGAUACUUUACAGACAAGCAAAUGCUGAGAGAUUUUGUCACCACCAGGCCUGCCUUACAAGAGCUCCUGAAGGAAGCACUAAACAUGGAAAGGAACAACCGGUACCAGCCGCUGCAAAAUCAUGCCAAAAUGUAAAGACCAUCGAGACUAGGAAGAAACUGCAUCAACUAACGAGCAAAUUAACCAGCUAACAUCAUAAUGACAGGAUCAAAUUCACACAUAACACUAUUAACUUUAAAUGUAAAUGGACUAAAUGCUCCAAUUAAAAGACACAGACUGGCAAAUUGGAUAAAGACUCAAGACCCAUCAGUGUGCUGUAUUCAGGAAACCCAUCUCACCUGCAGAGACACACAUAGGCUCAAAAUGAAAGGAUGGAGGAAGAUCUACCAAGCCAAUGGAAAACAAAAAAAGGCAGGGGUUGCAAUCCUAGUCUCUGAUAAAACAGAGUUUAAAGCAACAAAGAUCAAAAGAGACAAAGAAGGCCAUUACAUAAUGGUAAAGGGAUCAAUUCAUCAAGAAGAGCUAACUAUCCUAAAUAUAUAUGCACCCAAUACAGGAGCACCAAGAUUCAUAAAGCAAGUCCUGAGUGACCUACAAAGAGACUUAGAUUCCCACACAUUAAUAAUGGGAGACUUUAACACCUCACUGUCAACAUUAGACAGAUCAACGAGACAGAGUCAACAAGGAUACCCAGGAAUUGAACUCAGCUCUGCACCAAGCGGACCUAAUAGACAUCUACAGAACUCUCCACCCCAAAUCAACAGAAUAUACAUUUUUUUCAGCACCACACCACACCUGUUCCAAAACUGACCACAUACUUGGAAGUAAAGCUCUCCUCAGCAAAUGUAAAAGAACAGAAAUUAUAACAAACUAUCUCUCAGACCACAGUGCAAUCAAACUAGAACUCAGGAUUAAGAAUCUCACUCAAAACCGCUUGACUACAUGGAAACUGAACAACCUGCUCCUGAAUGACUACUGGGUACAUAAUGAAAUGAAGGCAGAAAUAAAGAUGUUCUUUGAAACCAACGAGAAGAAAGACACAACGUACCAGAAUCUCUGGGACACAUUCAAAGCAGUGUGUAGAGGGAAAUUUAUAGCACUAAAUGCCCACAACAGAAAGCAGGAAAGAUCCAAGAUGGACACCCUAACAUCACAAUUAAAAGAACUAGAAAAGCAAGAGCAAACACAUUCAAAAGCUAGCAGAAGGCAAGAAAUAACUAAAAUCAGAGCAGAACUCAAGGAAAUAGAGACACAAAAAACCCUUCAACAAAUUAAUGAAUCCAGGAGCUGGUUUUUUGAAAGGAUCAACAAAAUUGAUAGACCACUAGCGAGACUAAUAAAGAAAAAAAGAGAGAAGAAUCAGACUCAAUAAAAAAUGAUAAAGGGGAUAUCACCACCGAUCCCACAGAAAUACAAACUACCAUCAGAGAAUACUACAAACACCUCUACGCAAAUAAACUAGAAAAUCUAGAAAAAAUGGAUAAAUUCCUCGACACAUACACUCUCCCAAGACUAAACCAGGAAGAAGUUGAAUCUCUGAAUACACCAAUAACAGGAUCUGAAAUUGUGGCAAUAAUCAAUAGCUUACCAACAAAAAAGAGUCCAGGACCAGAUGGAUUCGCAGCCGAAUUCUACCAGAGGUACAAGGAGGAACUGGUACCAUUCGUUCUGAAACUAUUCCAAUCAAUAGAAAAAGAGGGAAUCCUCCCUAACUCAUUUUAUGAGGCCAGCAUCAUUCUGAUACCAAAGCCAGGCAGAGACACAACCAAAAAAGAGAAUAUUAGAUGAACAUCCUUGAUGAACAUUGAUGCAAAAAUCCUCAAUAAAAUACUGGCAAACUGAAUCCAGCAGCACAUCAAAAAGCUUAUCCACCACAAUCAAGUGGGCUUCAUCCCUGGGAUGCAAGGCUGGUUCAAUAUACGCAAAUCAAUAAAUGUAAUCCAGCAUAUAAACAGAACCAAAGACAAAAACCACAUGAUUAUCUCAAUAGAUGCAGGAAAAGCCUUUGACAAAAUUCAACAAUGCUUCAUGCUAAAAACUCUCAAUAAAUUAGGUAUCGAUGGGACAUAUUUCAAAAUAAUAAGAGCUAUCUAUGAAAAACCCCUAGCCAAUAUCAUACUGAAUGGGCAAAAACUGGAAGCAUUGCCUUUGAAAACUGGCACAAGACAGGGAUGCCCUCUCUCAACACUCCUAUUCAACAUAGUGUUGGAAGUUCUGGCCUGGGCAAUUAGGCAGGAGAAGGAAAUAAAGGGUAUUCAAUUAGGAAAAGAGGAAGUCAAAUUGUCCCUGUUUGCAGACAACAUGAUUGUAUAUCUAGAAAACCCCAUUGUCCCAACCCAAAAUCUCCUUAAGCUGAUAAGCAACUUCAGCAAAAUCUCAGGAUACAAAAUCAAUGUACAAAAAUCACAAGCAUUCUUAUACACCAACAACAGACAAACAGAGAGCCAAAUCAUGAGUGAACUCCCAUUCACAAUUGCUUCAAAGAGAAUAAAAUACCUAGGAAUCCAACUUACAAGGGAUGUGAAGGACCUCUUCAAGGAGAACUACAAACCACUGCUCAAGGAAAUAAAAGAGGAUACAAACAAAUGGAAGAACGUUCCAUGCUCAUGGGUAGGAAGAAUCAGUAUCGUGAAAAUGGCUAUACUGCCCAAGGUAAUUUACAGAUUCAAUGCCAUCCCCAUCAAGCUACCAAUGCCUUUCUUCACAGAAUUGGAAAAAACUACUUUAAAGUUCAUAUGGAACCAAAAAAGAGCCUGCAUCGCCAAGGCAAUCCUAAGCCAAAAGAACAAAGCUGGAGGUAUCACGCUACCUGACUUAAAACUAUACUACAAGGCUACAGUAACCAAAACAGCAUGGUACUGGUACCAAAACAGAGAUAUAGAUCAAUGGAACAGAACAGAGCCCUCAGAAAUAAU
Long non-coding RNA from Pan troglodytes (chimpanzee), 9268 nucleotides. RefSeq lists it as uncharacterized. The record is from RefSeq and is a predicted model, not a curated record. The transcript has 6 exons. NCBI's taxonomy places the organism in Eukaryota, Metazoa, Chordata, Mammalia, Primates, Hominidae.